Molecule: ribosomal RNA, 558 nt
Filed under: Fusarium sp. SPN14
Lineage: Eukaryota; Fungi; Ascomycota; Sordariomycetes; Hypocreales; Nectriaceae
Description: eukaryotic LSU rRNA
Rfam family: 5.8S ribosomal RNA (bases 188-341)
Source: RNAcentral
CGAAUAGGUCUCCGUUUGGUGACCAGCGGAGGGACAUUACCGAGUUUACAACUCCCAAACCCCUGUGAACAUACCAAUUGUUGCCUCGGCGGAUCAGCCCGCUCCCGGUAAAACGGGACGGCCCGCCAGAGGACCCCCAAACUCUGUUUCUAUAUGUAACUUCUGAGUAAAACCAUAAAUAAAUCAAAACUUUCAACAACGGAUCUCUUGGUUCUGGCAUCGAUGAAGAACGCAGCAAAAUGCGAUAAGUAAUGUGAAUUGCAGAAUUCAUUGAAUCAUCGAAUCUUUGAACGCACAUUGCGCCCGCCAGUAUUCUGGCGGGCAUGCCUGUUCGAGCGUCAUUUCAACCCUCAAGCCCAGCUUGGAGUUGAGACUCGCGAGUCAAAUCGCGUUCCCCAAAUUGAUUGGCGGUCACGUCGAGCUUCCAUAGCGUAGUACUAAGACCCUCGUUACUGGUAAUCGUCGCGGCCACGCCGUUAAACCCCAACUUCUGAAUGUUGACCUCGGAUCACGUAGGAAUACCCGCUGAACUUAAGCAUAUCAAUAAGCGGGAAGAAA